AAAAGGAUGGUAUGGAACAGGAAGAACAAGGGAAGCAGUGAAAGGAACAACACUGAGUAGAUCAGAUCAGGAAACCUACUAAGAUCUAUAGAUCUAUAAAUGUAUGAAAGGGAGAAAAUAAAUAGGACUGGACAAUAAUGCCAGCCUAACCAUAAGAACAAUUCUUGUUCUAUGCCACAGACAUAGUGUACCCAUUGUAAAUCAAGAUAUUCUAACACUAAUCUGAAAAUGAGCAGUGUUGUUGGUAUAUAGAAAUGUCUUGAUGUCAAAUACAGCUGCACCUAGUUUUAGAUCAGAAAUUGAAAACGUUUCAGUUUUGUUCAGAAGAAAUAAAAAAAUGCCCCAUCAAUACAGAUAAAAUACUUAAUUAUGGAAUAGAAGUUGUGAAGUUCUCAGACAUGGGCCAUGAAGAUAUUUUAUGCAUUUGCUCAACUGCUCUCAAUCUUGAAGACUUACUAACAAAGAUAUUAUCUGUACAAGUGGUGAAGGUCCUUCAGAUCCUUUGGAGGAAAAUUAUAUCUAGCGUAGAUUUUAUGUCUAAUCAUUAAAAUAAUGGCAGCAAUGGAUAUAAACAGUUUCAUGAGGUAUAUUAUUCAUAAUUUAGCCAUGGUGCUAGCGCUCAUCUAUCAUCCAUCAGAGGAGACGUCUGCGUCUUAUUUAUGUGUUGGAGCAACAAGCCUCUUAUAGUUGGAAGUGGCUACAUAUUCAGCGUUUUGGGAAAAUUGUAGUUGAUGAUUUUACAGAAGAACGAUUAAUUCAGCACGUUCCAAUGACGCACAACUUUUUAUGAACUGUGUGAUGCUGUGAGAGCUCUGGUGGAGCCAGUUUCACAUCGUCGGAAAAAAACCAAAACAAACCAUGAAGAAGAUUAGUCCAUGCUGUCUUCUUCAUGGCUUUCACUAACAUCUAGCUGUUGGUCCCAUGACUUGUGCACUUUCAAUUACCUUGUAAGCACUUUGAAUUGCUUUGUUGCUGAAAUUGUGCUAUAUAAAUAAAAUUACCUUACUUUGUGUGAUGCAAAAAA
Molecule: long non-coding RNA, 1024 nt
Organism: Xiphophorus couchianus (Monterrey platyfish)
Lineage: Eukaryota; Metazoa; Chordata; Actinopteri; Cyprinodontiformes; Poeciliidae
Exons: 2
Source: RefSeq, a predicted model, not a curated record